This 253-nucleotide ribosomal RNA is filed under the name uncultured bacterium. RNAcentral's name for it is "partial 16S ribosomal RNA". It matches the Rfam family "Bacterial small subunit ribosomal RNA", at positions 524 to 776 of the family's 1533-position model. The record is from RNAcentral.
UACGGAGGGUGCAAGCGUUGCUCGGAAUCAUUGGGCGUAAAGCGUACGCAGGCUGUUCGUUAAGUCGGGUGUGAAAGCCCAGGGCUCAACCCUGGAAUGGCGCCCGAAACUGGCGGGCUUGAGUGCGGGAGAGGGAAGCGGAAUUCCGGGUGUAGCGGUGGAAUGCGUAGAGAUCCGGAAGAACACCGGUGGCGAAGGCGGCCUGCUGGGCAGUAGCUGACACUGAGGCGCGACAGCGUGGGGAGCAAACAGG